UAGAAUCUUCAGGGCAGGGUGAAAGUCCCUACCGGUGGUAUAGCCCACGAGCCGCAAGGCAUGAUUCGGUGAAACUCCGAAGCCGACAGUAUAGUCUGGAUGAAAGAAGAUGGAU
RNAcentral lists this non-coding RNA (115 nucleotides) under Firmicutes bacterium CAG:102. RNAcentral's name for it is "FMN riboswitch aptamer (RFN element)". It matches the Rfam family "FMN riboswitch aptamer (RFN element)". Rfam says of the family: The RFN element is a highly conserved domain that is found frequently in the 5'-untranslated regions of prokaryotic mRNAs that encode for flavin mononucleotide (FMN) biosynthesis and transport proteins. This element is a metabolite-dependent riboswitch that directly binds FMN in the absence of proteins. RNAcentral also lists the same sequence under 1 other name. The record is from Rfam by way of RNAcentral. Lineage: Bacteria; Bacillati; Bacillota.